GUGAGGAAUAUUGGACAAUGGGCGCAAGCCUGAUCCAGCCAUGCCGCGUGCAGGAAGACGCAUCUAUGGUGUGUAAACUGCUUUUGUACGGGAAGAAACACUCCCUCGUGAGGGAGCUUGACGGUACCGUAAGAAUAAGGAUCGACUAACUCCGUGCCAGCAGCCGCGGUAAUACGGAGGAUCCAAGCGUUAUCCGGAAUCAUUGGGUUUAAAGGGUCCGUAGGCGGUUUAAUAAGUCAGUGGUGAAAGCCCAUCGCUCAACGAUGGAACGGCCAUUGAUACUGUUAGACUUGAAUUACAAGGAAGUAACUAGAAUAUGUAGUGUAGCGGUGAAAUGCUUAGAUAUUACAUGGAAUACCAAUUGCGAAGGCAGGUUACUACUUGUGGAUUGACGCUGAUGGACGAAAGCGUGGGGAGCGAACAGGAUUAGAAACCCGUGUAGUCC
RNAcentral lists this ribosomal RNA (445 nucleotides) under uncultured bacterium. Its description in RNAcentral is "partial 16S ribosomal RNA". It matches the Rfam family "Bacterial small subunit ribosomal RNA", at positions 354 to 796 of the family's 1533-position model. The record is from RNAcentral.